This 458-nucleotide ribosomal RNA is filed under the name Cryptosporidium parvum. RNAcentral's name for it is "SSU rRNA". It matches the Rfam family "Eukaryotic small subunit ribosomal RNA", at positions 467 to 956 of the family's 1831-position model. Lineage: Eukaryota; Apicomplexa; Conoidasida; Eucoccidiorida; Cryptosporidiidae. The record is from RNAcentral.
GUGACAAGAAAUAACAAUACAGGACUUUUUGGUUUUGUAAUUGGAAUGAGUUAAGUAUAAACCCCUUUACAAGUAUCAAUUGGAGGGCAAGUCUGGUGCCAGCAGCCGCGGUAAUUCCAGCUCCAAUAGCGUAUAUUAAAGUUGUUGCAGUUAAAAAGCUCGUAGUUGGAUUUCUGUUAAUAAUUUAUAUAAAAUAUUUUGAAUAUUUAUAUAACAUUAACAUAAUUCAUAUUACUAUAUUUUUUAGUAUAUGAAAUUUUACUUUGAGAAAAUUAGAGUGCUUAAAGCAGGCAUAUGCCUUGAAUACUCCAGCAUGGAAUAAUAUUAAAGAUUUUUAUCUUUCUUAUUGGUUCUAAGAUAAGAAUAAUGAUUAAUAGGGACAGUUGGGGGCAUUUGUAUUUAACAGUCAGAGGUGAAAUUCUUAGAUUUGUUAAAGACAAACUAAUGCGAAAGCAUUU